UUCGGACAUCAAGAGUAGGGCUGACGCCCUCGCCAACCUGCCUACCCGGCAAGGUGGUGCUCCGAAAGGAGGAUGUGGCCAUAGACGGCAACUAAAGGGUCUAAG
This 105-nucleotide non-coding RNA is filed under the name unclassified sequences. RNAcentral describes it as "SAM-I-IV sequence". It matches the Rfam family "SAM-I/IV (S-adenosyl methionine) riboswitch aptamer". Rfam says of the family: It is found upstream of a number of genes which code for proteins involved in methionine or cysteine biosynthesis. It has been found mostly in the order Actinomycetales. The record is from Rfam by way of RNAcentral.